Raphanus sativus (radish) is the source of this 1562-nucleotide long non-coding RNA. RefSeq lists it as uncharacterized. The transcript has 8 exons. Lineage: Eukaryota; Viridiplantae; Streptophyta; Magnoliopsida; Brassicales; Brassicaceae. The record is from RefSeq and is a predicted model, not a curated record.
GUUUUGCGUCUCAUUGUGUCUCUUGGUCUUCUCAUGUCUUCUCACCUUGGCGAUUUAGAUUCUAAAGUCGUCUCUCUUCCUCUUAUAAGCAAUUCUUCAGAGAAUCAGCUGAUUGGUGGAAGGGCUUCUAAUAAAGAUUACCUCUUGGCCUCUCCACCUCCUUCAUCAAACCCGAAAGUAACGUCUUUUGCUCCUCCAAAGCAGAUACCUACGGAGGCUGGCCGCAGAGACCAACUACGCCUGAAUCUGAGAUGUAAGGCCAUGUGGAUCUUCGACAUCGACUAGAAGCUCCUCACGAAUUUAGACUAGUACAUGGCUCAUGGUUACGGAUCAUAGAUCAAACUGAAAUCAUCUGUUUAAAUGGUCCUGACGGUGUGUAGCUGUCUUCAAUGGAGACGGUUGUGAUGUUCAGACUGAGAAUAGCAGUAAACAGAUGAUGUGUUUGUGAUUUCUGAGAAGAUUUAAUUUGGAUUCAACCAAUAUCAGAGCAGUUCUGAGAUUCAGGUCAAGUAUGAAGCCGAAACUUCUACUAACCCACCCAGUUUAUGAAGGCGACUCAAUUCAUGGACAAACAGAAAGAGGUGAAGUGAUCAAGAAUUUGAGGUGACCAUAGUUGGACAAAAUCGUUAUUUGUCAUUUUCUCCAGGCCCUUUUACUUGGAAGAAGGCCUUGGAGAAGGUCAACUUUGUGUCUUCUUCCGCAGCAAUCACUUAUAUACCAUGAUAAACGUUAAAUGACAAUGCAAUUUGAUCUGGUUACUGAUCAGUGCUAUUUGACGUGGGUCUUCAAGUGUGACGGUGGAAGAUGGGAUCAACAUGAUGCAACUAGUAAUAUUGAGGAUUAUAUCUACAUCAUCAACAAUUCAUCAGUGGGAGGCUUAGAGAUUGAGUCUGCACCGUUCGAGUCUAAUAGCUUUAGUGUAGGUGGAUGGUAGAAGGAAGAGCUCCAGCUUUUGAAGCGAGCUUGAGAUUGUACAAUGCUUUAAAAAAACUUGGGUUCUCUAUCGUUCUGCAACCCGGUCAGGAUGGCCAAAAGAGGGUCACCAAGACUUAUCUCUGAGACGCCACUUACAACGAGAUAUUAAUAUUGGGUUAGAGAUUUAGCACAACAAAAUAGAUUAUACUUUAUCUGCUUAUUUGCAGAGUAUCCCAGUUUAUAGAUAUGAAUGUUGCUGGCAAAAGUAGUGGACACCAUGUGCUUGCAAAGGGGAGAUGUCAAACUGAGGCGCUCUCCUAUAUGAUUAACUGAAUCUUAACGACGCUCUGAUGGCAUACCAAACAGCCACAAAAACUGCAGUUCAGAUUCAGGAGCGUUUAGGGAUAAAACGUUGAAAGCGGCACAGUCAAAGUUGAUCCAGUUUACCAACAUGGGAGCAGAGGCUAAGAGCAUAUGAUGAAGUUAUAGACGUUAUGCAUAGGAAUGUUAAGUAAUUAAUGACAUAGAAAUUAAUAAACCUCUCACGGAGGACUAGACAAUGGGAAUAUAUUAUUCUCAUGGUACACAAAAAUAAAUUAACAAUAAUAAUCCUAUAAUAGCAAAAUUAACGUUAGGCAGCUAAUUUU